Molecule: non-coding RNA, 1160 nt
Organism: Drosophila suzukii
Lineage: Eukaryota; Metazoa; Arthropoda; Insecta; Diptera; Drosophilidae
Source: RefSeq, a predicted model, not a curated record
GUUGUUGUUGUUGAAAAAUUUGACGUCUGACAAUUCAGUACAAUAUUUUUUUUCGCACGUGAUAACGCUGAAAAUUAAAGUGGAUACCCUUUAGAACUUGGAAGGACAUACCCCUGACUACAAGAGGAGUUUAUAAAAGUCUUUUUCAGCGAUGAUAAGCUGAAGAAGAUUACUUUAUAUGACAGUGGAACAACAGUACAUUAGGCAGCAGCAGUACAAGGACAAGCGUAUGAAUUCUUAGUCAAACAAGUCUUUGGACAGCGCUUUAGUGCCGACAGUAGAUCGAGAAAACCCCUUAGCCCUUGCAAACAGACACCUCCUCUGUACUUCUUUUGACCUGUACACCGAUUGUAAAAACGUCGCCGCAAGUGAUCGUCGACAAGAAUCCAAUGCCCCCACCAAAUUCAUCUAGGAUAGUCAAGCCCCGCCGAUUACCCAACAAUUACAAGGUGAAACAGGAGCCGAUAGAACGCAGGUCGGUGCCAAAUCCUGCUGACACCAUCCCCAUCAUAUGCCAUUUCUAGUCAAUGAGAAGAGUGCCAAGCUAACGCCCACGAAACCAAGAGGCAUUGAUCUUAAACGAGAGAUAGCCAAGGAGCAGAUAAAGCCCUGAUGUCCAGGAAGGUGCAUCAAAUCGUGUCCCCCGGAGAAUGAUUGGCAGACUAGCUCCACAUUUCACCUUGAGGAUGUCAUUGACAGAAACAUGUCAAAAUACCCUUUAAUAACUAGCCGAAAGCAGGUACAGUGUCUUCAGCAUUUCGUCUCCCUCAGCCGUGGUCAUGGCAAACACUUGGAUCAUUCCCGACUCGUAGAGUCUAGCUGAGACUCCGCACAUUUCCUUAUUCACAUAUUAGACGAAGUUCAUUUCACGAAGGAGUGGUUCUGAGGAAAGGGCGCAGACCUCACUAAAUAUCUGCAAAUUUACGGUCCAAGGUUAGUUGGCACCGUAAAAGUAACGUAAGCAUAUGAGUGUAAGAGCCUUGAAAUUCACCAUUUCGAUAGUCUUCGUCACGAUAUCGCUUUGGGUUUCGGCCAACAUUGCGCUACUUCUUCAGUUGAUAAUCAUCACAAUGCCAUUGACUCAUAUCCAGCCUAUCUGAUAUCGCACUUCGAUCACAUCUGACAUAGAUGUUGGGCAUAUAUGUCGGGUGUGAUCGAAG